AAAGGUUCAAAAACAUACAUAUUAGAUUGAAUGAUGAUUUUAAAUUGUAGGAAUAGGUGUGAUAGUUGAUAUUUUUCUGUGUGCAGAUGACUUGCAGCCAUUCGUAGCCAUACCUGAACCCAAGGAGAGCUGGAAUAGACUGUAGUACCUUGAAACCCCCAGCAGUUUAAUAAAAGAAUGAAUGGACACGUACCGUAUGCUUCCUGUGAAGCAUUAGCAUUUAACCUUAACAGAGUUUUACUGGAAUGCCAAUCCUGAAUGCUGAUGCACUGCACUAAUCUACUGUCUCAGCCCUCCUGCAAAGACAGAUGAAUACCUCCACCACAAGCCAAUGGCAAUUCAAUGGGCUCUUGGCCUCCUGUCAAACCUCAAUUUAUAACACUGUGUACCACUUUUAAAAGACCUUCUCCACCACCACUCCUCCAUC
RNAcentral lists this long non-coding RNA (427 nucleotides) under Oryzias sinensis (Chinese medaka). RNAcentral's name for it is "lncRNA (ENSOSIG00000001209.1)". Lineage: Eukaryota; Metazoa; Chordata; Actinopteri; Beloniformes; Adrianichthyidae. The record is from RNAcentral.